GACGUAGGGCGCGAGCGUUGUCCGGAUUUAUUGGGCGUAAAGAGCUCGUAGGCGGCUUGUCGCGUCGUCCGUGAAAACCUGCGGCUCAACUGCAGGCUGGCGGUCGAUACGGGCAGACUAGAGUUCGGUAGGGGAGACUGGAAUUCCUGGUGUAGCGGUGAAAUGCGCAGAUAUCAGGAGGAACACCGGUGGCGAAGGCGGGUCUCUGGGCCGAUACUGACGCUGAUGCGCGAAAGCCAGGGGAGCGAACGGG
RNAcentral lists this ribosomal RNA (253 nucleotides) under uncultured bacterium. RNAcentral describes it as "partial 16S ribosomal RNA". It matches the Rfam family "Bacterial small subunit ribosomal RNA", at positions 524 to 776 of the family's 1533-position model. The record is from RNAcentral.